CCUGCCCGUGCCCGUCACCACUUCCUCUGCAUCGGAGGCCACCACCGCCAUCCUGGUGCUCAGAUACAGCUGAGGCUAAGACAGCUCCCGAUAAGGGUCACGUUCCUGGGCUCACAAACGCUCACUCCCACACGGAAGUGCCCCGGACCCUCUCCUCCCAGCAAACCUCUUUGUCUUCCCCUCCAUAGUGGACAGCAGAAAAGGCACUGGUUCCUGGCCAGAGAUAUGUGGGUUUAAGUCCCCACUUUGCCACAGAAGAGCUGCGACGCUGAGCAAGUCACUGUACCUCUCUGGGCCUCUGUUCCAUCAGAGCCUGGCACAGAGGAGGUGCUCAACUGCUCCUGCGAAUGGCUGACACCUAUUUGAGUUUUCUGGCAUCCUGGGCCAAGGGGUUACAUGGAUUAUUUCACACUCCAGCAACCCAACGAGGUGGUACCAUUCCUGUCAUCAUUCUGCAGAAACUGAGGCACAGAAACACUAGGUGAAUGCAGAAAACCACACCCCGGUGGGCUGAGCCGCCAAAGAACACAGGAAUGGUGCAGGCACACACCUCACACCUCUGUCGGCUGCCUCUGAGCCACGCUCACCCCAUCUGGGGGCCACCUUGCCACCUGAUCUCAGAUAACCCUCCUGCCACCGCUUCAGAAGCUGCAACCCUUCCCACCCACGGCCACAAGCAGCCUGCAGGCCUCUUUCCUGGCAAAGUGCCAUAUUUAUUGUAUCGAUUGAGAUAAAACAGCAUAACGUGAGUUGUUUUACUGGGGGCAAAAAUGAGGACUGUAGCCUGGGAGACAGCAUCCCAGACAGCUCUGAGGAACUGCUCCAAAGAGGCAGGGGGGACACUCAGUAUUAGAUAUGAUUUCAGUGAAGGGGGGCACGUGCAGUCAAGCACACACUUAAGGCAGAGGCUUGCUGCUGGUCACGAGAAGCAGACGUCACUGUUAAUGAUUUUAGUGCUUUUCUAGAUAUGAGAAGACGCAAGAAUCUGGGCUCAUAAAUCUUCUCCUGAAAAUAUCUAACUAUCUGAAGGCCUGUUCUGCCAGUUUUCCCAGAGCAUGGAGCUCUGCAUUCCUGAUCUCAGCCCUGAACUCCGUUCAGAGUGUGUUGGAGGUCGGCAGCUGCAGCAGCGCGUGAGUUAAUCCAAGCAGAGGUGGACGGCAAGUGCCAACGGGACCCAGCCCUUGCAGAGGCAGGUGGCAAGUGCCAAUGUUUAGCUGGCAGUUGUAACAAUUUUGUGUUUCUUAUCUGCAAAACCUGGGUAAACUGUGCUGCUUGCUUUUAGGUUCCUAUCUUUUCUUUUUUUUUCUAACAUGCUCCAGGUGACGUUUUUGAGUGUCAUGCCCUUAGCCCCAUUUUUCUCACAAGGCUUCUGAUUUUUAUUGCAUAAUUUUGCACAGUUCGGGGAUUUUUAGGAAGGCAAAUUUACAUUACAGCAGAACUGUAUUAUGUAAAGGGCUAAGCAUAGCGCCUGGCACAUGAUAUGCAUUUAAUCAAUUUUAACUUACUAGUAAAAAAAAAAAAAAAAGUGUGGGGAUUCCUUAAAUAUCCAAGAAGAUUAAGAUAAUGGGGGCACUGAGGCAUCCCAGAAGGUCUGUGCGAAGCAUUUAGAAUAAUACAGGAUGAAGCUUUCAGAAUGAAAGAUGGCAUAAACGCUGUAGGUAGGCAUGAUCAAAACCCUGCACUAAAAAAUCUUUUUCUCCAUAAAAAUCAACUAAGCCUGGAAGGAAAUACAUCAGAUUGUCAACAGCAAUUGAUGAGACAGGGUAAUUUUUUUUCUUUUCUAAUUAAAAAUUUUUUUAAAUUUGUACUUUACUCCUAAUUUUGCAAAAUCAUAAACCUUUUAAAAGCGUAAAGAUAACAUAAAUCACAACUAAAGCAAUUUUCAAGAAGCAGAAAAACAUCUCAGCCUGCUAACGCAAGCUCUUCACGACCACAUGCUCCCUGUCUGUGUCCGGCAUGUAAGGACCUGUUUCACCCACAGCUAUGAGAGCCAGCACACCCUGCCCUAGGCAGCUUUUUUCCAUUAAACACUGUAUCAAACACUUCCCUUUCCAUCCUGUCUUCAGAAUAAAGAUUAUUUUUAAGGACAAGAAUUUUGAAACAGUAUAGCUUAUGACUUUUACUUUGUAUCUAGUAAUGAAAUUGAGACCAUUUUCUUUGGAAAUCAAUUUGAGAAUCAAAUUGACAUAGCACAAAAAUCAAUCCUACACUCCCUUUUUUCCUCCCAAGAUCAACUGAUGGCUUAUCAAGGAGAAGAAAGAAAAAGAGGCUCCUUAUCGUGAGGCUGCUCAUGUUUAUUAGGUUCUGAGCCUCUGCAAGACACUCGUCUGGAAAUCCGUACUCAGAGUCCGAC
Molecule: long non-coding RNA, 2353 nt
Organism: Camelus dromedarius (Arabian camel)
Lineage: Eukaryota; Metazoa; Chordata; Mammalia; Artiodactyla; Camelidae
Exons: 3
Source: RefSeq, a predicted model, not a curated record